UGCCCCGCGUGAGGAUCGAACUCACGACCUUCAGAUUAUGAGAAUGACGCGCUACUUACUGCGCUAACGAGGC
This 73-nucleotide transfer RNA is filed under the name Cordylochernes scorpioides. RNAcentral describes it as "tRNA-Met". Lineage: Eukaryota; Metazoa; Arthropoda; Arachnida; Pseudoscorpiones; Chernetidae. The record is from RNAcentral.